Long non-coding RNA from Grus americana (Whooping crane), 672 nucleotides. RefSeq lists it as uncharacterized. NCBI's taxonomy places the organism in Eukaryota, Metazoa, Chordata, Aves, Gruiformes, Gruidae. The transcript is spliced from 3 exons. The record is from RefSeq and is a predicted model, not a curated record.
AGGCAGACACCGCUGCCUGCGUCUGGCAGGGAGCAGCGGACGGGGUGUUUGGCCCCGAGAGCGUACCUGGUCAGCGGGGGCACGCUGGCUCUUGCUGCGUGGAGCUGAUGCCUGCGGCCGGUAAGGCAAGCGCGAGCCUCCCUGCCACGGCUCGCGCUCCUCGGGGUACGCGCGGGUCCCUGCUGAAGUACUCUCUGCCAGACUUUGAUCCUGCUGAGUCACAGACUCAGGACUCCCAAAUUACGUGGUGUGGCUGAUGGCUGCCUUCAGCCUGCGGUGAGAGGGGCUGUCCUGGGCAAAGGAAGCGGCUCUCGAAGAAAAGCGUGUGCUUGGGAGUCGUUUGUCCCUGUUCAUUGCAGGGGAGCUCUGCCAGCAGCCGUUAGAAGUGACAGAGACCAGAAGAAAAGGGUUGCAAGACGCAUAGCGAAUACAUCUCUAAGGGGGAGGAAUGCCUGUAAGGAGACUGUUCAGCAUGAGGUGACUUCCCAUCUUCCGCUUUGGCGGUGCCCGACAGAGAUCACUUCCAAGCAGUUCCUAGCACUAAAACGUCUCGCCCAUCUGUGGGCAGGGUGCAGCAGCGCAUCAGGUGGAGGAGAAUGAAGGGACAUGGGUGCCGGUCUGUCCUGUGAUGUGAAUUUAAUUGGGAAAUUAAACUGGAGCUACGGAAGUGGU